RNAcentral lists this long non-coding RNA (724 nucleotides) under Brassica napus (rape). RNAcentral's name for it is "long non-coding RNA (BNAP_LNC024942)". The record is from RNAcentral. Lineage: Eukaryota; Viridiplantae; Streptophyta; Magnoliopsida; Brassicales; Brassicaceae.
AGAAGCUAAUGAAGCAUGGGCUUGCGGCCUUUAUAUAAUUAAGUAAAAUAUCGGCCACCAAAUUAUACCAAAAUAAACUUUAGUCCAGCAGUCAAAUACCUCUAUCUUUUCUUAGAGAUGAAGGGUUCAAUCCUAACCAGCCACAUUAUUAUUGUUGGCUUGUAGCCUCAACAAAACAAGGACCGGCUCUGCUUGUGUAAAUAGCAUAACAUGCCCAUCACCUUUACAGAUCCAUUAACCUCUUGAUAUAUAAUGUUAUAGCUUAGUAUUCCAUAUUCCAUAACUUGCCGAAUGCUCCCCAUUUUCCAUAUUAAAUAUAUACAUGUAUAGUUAAAAAAAUAUGAUGCCCUCAUUCUCUAUUAGUUGCUGAUUAAUCAGUAGGUGUACCCCAUAAUUCAUCUCAUAUACCAAAUGAACCUCUUUGUAACCUCUUUGAUACAAAAAAACGCCAUAUGAUCCCAGGGCACAGAGACUCAUUUACAUUUUUGAUACACCACCUUACGCCUUUCCACUUCAAACCCCUUAUUCCUUUUAGUAACCAUAAGUAUACCAGAAUCCCAACCUCCUGCCAACUGAGCCUUACAGACAUAUAUACGAACCAACCCAUCACCAACCAAAUAAAACAACAGUCUUUAUUCACAUCCAGUACUUCCCAUAAGACUCCAAGAACUUCCAUGUUUCCAAAACCCGAAGGUACCGUGUAGAAAAAAUCAUCAAAAUACCA